Molecule: ribosomal RNA, 2880 nt
Filed under: Burkholderia cenocepacia
Lineage: Bacteria; Pseudomonadati; Pseudomonadota; Betaproteobacteria; Burkholderiales; Burkholderiaceae
Description: bacterial LSU rRNA
Rfam family: Bacterial large subunit ribosomal RNA
Source: RNAcentral
UCAAGCGAACAAGUGCAUGUGGUGGAUGCCUUGGCGAUCACAGGCGAUGAAGGACGCGGUAGCCUGCGAAAAGCUACGGGGAGCUGGCAAACGAGCUUUGAUCCGUAGAUGUCCGAAUGGGGAAACCCACUCCUUUUGGAGUAUCCAUGGCUGAAUACAUAGGCCAUGUGAAGCGAACGCGGUGAACUGAAACAUCUAAGUAACCGCAGGAAAAGAAAUCAACCGAGAUUCCCAAAGUAGUGGCGAGCGAAAUGGGAUGAGCCUUGCACUCUUUAUUUGUAUUGUUAGCCGAACGCUCUGGAAAGUGCGGCCAUAGCAGGUGAUAGCCCUGUAGGCGAAAACAGUAUGAAAGAACUAGGUGUGCGACAAGUAGGGCGGGACACGUGAAAUCCUGUCUGAAGAUGGGGGGACCAUCCUCCAAGGCUAAAUACUCGUGAUCGACCGAUAGUGAACCAGUACCGUGAGGGAAAGGCGAAAAGAACCCCGGGAGGGGAGUGAAAUAGAUCCUGAAACCGCAUGCAUACAAACAGUCGGAGCCUCGCAAGGGGUGACGGCGUACCUUUUGUAUAAUGGGUCAGCGACUUACGUUCAGUAGCAAGCUUAACCGUAUAGGGCAGGCGUAGCGAAAGCGAGUCCGAAUAGGGCGUUCAGUUGCUGGGCGUAGACCCGAAACCAGGUGAUCUAUCCAUGGCCAGGAUGAAGGUGCGGUAACACGUACUGGAGGUCCGAACCCACUAACGUUGAAAAGUUAGGGGAUGAGCUGUGGAUAGGGGUGAAAGGCUAAACAAACCUGGAAAUAGCUGGUUCUCUCCGAAAACUAUUUAGGUAGUGCCUCGUGUCUCACCUUCGGGGGUAGAGCACUGUCAUGGUUGGGGGGUCUAUUGCAGAUUACCCCGCCAUAGCAAACUCCGAAUACCGAAGAGUGCAAUCACGGGAGACAGACAUCGGGUGCUAACGUCCGGUGUCAAGAGGGAAACAACCCAGACCGCCAGCUAAGGUCCCCAAAUAUAGCUAAGUGGGAAACGAAGUGGGAAGGCUAAAACAGUCAGGAGGUUGGCUUAGAAGCAGCCACCCUUUAAAGAAAGCGUAAUAGCUCACUGAUCGAGUCGUCCUGCGCGGAAGAUGUAACGGGGCUAAGCUAUAUACCGAAGCUGCGGAUGCGUGCUUAGCACGCAUGGUAGGAGAGCGUUCCGUAAGCCUGCGAAGGUGCCUUGUAAAGGGUGCUGGAGGUAUCGGAAGUGCGAAUGCUGACAUGAGUAGCGAUAAAGGGGGUGAAAGGCCCCCUCGCCGUAAGCCCAAGGUUUCCUACGCAACGUUCAUCGGCGUAGGGUGAGUCGGCCCCUAAGGCGAGGCAGAAAUGCGUAGCUGAUGGGAAGCAGGUCAAUAUUCCUGCACCAUUGUUAGAUGCGAUGGGGGGACGGAUCGCGGAAGGUUGUCCGGGUGUUGGAAGUCCCGGUCGCUGCAUUGGAGAAGGCGCUUAGGCAAAUCCGGGCGCGUAAUUCAAGGGUGUGGCGCGAGCUCCUUAGGGAGCGAAGCAAUUGGAAGUGGUUCCAAGAAAAGCCUCUAAGCUUCAGUCUAACGAUGACCGUACCGCAAACCGACACAGGUGGGCGAGAUGAGUAUUCUAAGGCGCUUGAGAGAACUCGGGAGAAGGAACUCGGCAAAUUGGUACCGUAACUUCGGGAUAAGGUACGCCCUUGUAGCUUGACUGGCCUGCGCCAGGAGGGUGAAGGGGUUGCAAUAAACUGGUGGCUGCGACUGUUUAAUAAAAACACAGCACUCUGCAAACACGAAAGUGGACGUAUAGGGUGUGACGCCUGCCCGGUGCCGGAAGAUUAAAUGAUGGGGUGCAAGCUCUUGAUUGAAGUCCCGGUAAACGGCGGCCGUAACUAUAACGGUCCUAAGGUAGCGAAAUUCCUUGUCGGGUAAGUUCCGACCUGCACGAAUGGCGUAACGAUGGCCACACUGUCUCCUCCCGAGACUCAGCGAAGUUGAAGUGUUUGUGAUGAUGCAAUCUACCCGCGGCUAGACGGAAAGACCCCAUGAACCUUUACUGUAGCUUUGCAUUGGACUUUGAACCGAUCUGUGUAGGAUAGGUGGGAGGCUAUGAAACCGGAACGCUAGUUUCGGUGGAGCCGUCCUUGAAAUACCACCCUGGUUUGUUUGAGGUUCUAACCUUGGCCCGUGAUCCGGGUCGGGGACAGUGCAUGGUAGGCAGUUUGACUGGGGCGGUCUCCUCCCAAAGCGUAACGGAGGAGUACGAAGGUACGCUAGGUACGGUCGGAAAUCGUGCUGAUAGUGCAAUGGCAUAAGCGUGCUUAACUGCGAGACCGACAAGUCGAGCAGGUGCGAAAGCAGGUCAUAGUGAUCCGGUGGUUCUGUAUGGAAGGGCCAUCGCUCAACGGAUAAAAGGUACUCUGGGGAUAACAGGCUGAUACCGCCCAAGAGUUCAUAUCGACGGCGGUGUUUGGCACCUCGAUGUCGGCUCAUCUCAUCCUGGGGCUGUAGCCGGUCCCAAGGGUAUGGCUGUUCGCCAUUUAAAGAGGUACGUGAGCUGGGUUUAAAACGUCGUGAGACAGUUUGGUCCCUAUCUGCCGUGGGCGUUGGAUAUUUGAAGGGGGCUGCUCCUAGUACGAGAGGACCGGAGUGGACGAACCUCUGGUGUACCGGUUGUCACGCCAGUGGCAUCGCCGGGUAGCUAUGUUCGGAAGAGAUAACCGCUGAAAGCAUCUAAGCGGGAAACUCGCCUUAAGAUGAGAUAUCCCUGGGGACUAGAUCCCCUUGAAGGGUCGUUCGAGACCAGGACGUUGAUAGGUCAGGUGUGUAAGCGCAGUAAUGCGUUCAGCUAACUGAUACUAAUUGCCCGUAAGGCUUGAUCCU